GCCAGACUCCUACGGGAGGCAGCAGUGGGGGAUAUUGCACAAUGGGGGGAACCCUGAUGCAGCGACGCCGCGUGGGUGAAGGAGCGUUUCGGCGCGUAAAGCCCUCUCGGCAGGGAAGAAGGAGGACGGUACCUGACUAAGAAGCCCCGGCUAACUACGUGCCAGCAGCCGCGGUAAUACGUAGGGGGCAAGCGUUAUCCGGGUUUACUGGGUGUAAAGGGGGCGCAGACGGCAGCGCAAGCCAGGAGUGAAAGCCCGGGGCCCAACCCCGGGACUGCUCUUGGAACUGCGCGGCUGGAGUGCAGGAGGGGCAGGCGGAAUUCCUGGUGUAGCGGUGAAAUGCGUAGAUAUCAGGAGGAACACCGGUGGCGAAGGCGGCCUGCUGGACUGCGACUGACGUUGAGGCCCGAAAGCGUGGGGAGCAAACAGGAUUAGAUACCCCUGUAC
This 447-nucleotide ribosomal RNA is filed under the name uncultured bacterium. RNAcentral describes it as "partial 16S ribosomal RNA". It matches the Rfam family "Bacterial small subunit ribosomal RNA", at positions 330 to 793 of the family's 1533-position model. The record is from RNAcentral.